CGGCAAAGAGGCCUAGGAUCGGCAAGGCCUGCAAACUGCAGAGCUCUUCUCUCCCCGCCUCUCAGCUGAUUGGUGGGUGGGCGGGGCUUCCAGAGAGGCCUCCGAGUAGGCCUCCCUGAAGCCUGAACUCGAGUAGGCCCCAAGCAAGGAAGGAAGGAAGGAGGAAGCAGGCAGCAGACCCUCUGCCCAGACCAGACCAUCCAGAACAGCUAUUGCUAGAUUGUGUAGUUCCUAUAUUUACAGUAAAACUAUGAAAAAACUUGAAUACAGAAAAUGAGAGCAAUAUGAACCUCAGUGAAACUCGGGAGCAUUUGUGGUGUCUGUAUCUCCGGAAUUUACAUAAGAUGAGAGAGGGUGCUUUAAGAACUACAGGUGACCACAUGUGCUCUGAAUCUUUGCGUAUCUUGACUGAUUAAAUCAAGCAAACCUUGUCAAGCUCACUUGCUGAGGCAAUAGGAAGAAAUCGUUUGAUCACAGGGAACCUAUAAGGAUGGUUUGAUUCUUCUCCAUCUGAGCAGGCUCCAAAGCAGUCUCGGCAGAAGAGGGGAAAUGCUGCAGAAGUUUGAUAAACUGGAAGUGUGCAACAACAAACUUAAAUGUUUUGGGUUUUUUUAAAGACACUCUUUGUGGGGAAAUGGGGAAGAUGGGAGGCAGGGGAGGCACAGUCAAUCAGCUGACAAUGUUCUACCCCCUACUGUGGAUGAAAGUAGCAGAUAUAAAAUUCUAAAGAAACUCAGCUCUUUGCAACUGGCUGAUUUGUUAACUCUGCUAGCACGUUAUGGGCUCAGUCACACUGGAGGAGAAUUAAUAACUGCAAACUAAAAAUGGGAAUCUGUCUGGCCUACACAAAACACAGAGAGGUGCAACAGUGAGAGACCACAUCCCACUGAUCAGAAGGAAGGAUGGCAAGGAGUCGAGAUAUUAAAUUUGCAGUGGCAAUACUUGCUCGUAACAGUAAAGCAUUCUAAAGAAACUCA
This is a long non-coding RNA of Hemicordylus capensis (graceful crag lizard), 977 nucleotides long. RefSeq lists it as uncharacterized. Lineage: Eukaryota; Metazoa; Chordata; Lepidosauria; Squamata; Cordylidae. The record is from RefSeq and is a predicted model, not a curated record. The transcript is spliced from 4 exons.